Molecule: ribosomal RNA, 468 nt
Filed under: uncultured bacterium
Lineage: Bacteria
Description: partial 16S ribosomal RNA
Rfam family: Bacterial small subunit ribosomal RNA
Source: RNAcentral
GACGAACGCUGGCGGCGUGCUUAACACAUGCAAGUCGAACGGAAAGGCCCUGCUUUUGUGGGGUGCUCGAGUGGCGAACGGGUGAGUAACACGUGAGUAGCCUGCCCUUGACUUUGGGAUAACUCCAGGAAACUGGGGCUAAUACCGGAUAGGAGCUCCUGCUGCAUGGUGGGGGUUGGAAAGUUUCGGCGGUUGGGGAUGGACUCUCGGCUUAUCAGCUUGUUGGUGGGGUAGUGGCUUACCAAGGCUUUGACGGGUAGCCGGCCUGAGAGGGUGACCGGCCACAUUGGGACUGCGAUACGGCCCAGACUCCUACGGGCGGCAGCGGUGGGGAAUAUUGCGCAAUGGGCGGAAGCCUGAUGCAGCAACGCCGCGUGCGGGAUGACGGCCUUCGGGUUGUAAACCGCUUUCGCCUGUGACGAAGCGUGAGUGACGGUAAUGGGUAAAGAAGCACCGGCUAACUACGUG